UGGGGAAUAUUGCACAAUGGGCGAAAGCCUGAUGCAGCGACGCCGCGUGCGGGAUGAAGGCCUUCGGGUUGUAAACCGCUUUUGAUUGGGAGCAAGCGAGAGUGAGUGUACCUUUCGAAUAAGCACCGGCUAACUACGUGCCAGCAGCCGCGGUAAUACGUAGGUGGCAAGCGUUGUCCGGAUUUAUUGGGCGUAAAGGGAACGCAGGCGGUCUUUUAAGUCUGAUGUGAAAGCCUUCGGCUUAACCGAAGUCGUGCAUUGGAAACUGGGAGACUUGAGUGCAGAAGAGGAGAGUGGAACUCCAUGUGUAGCGGUGAAAUGCGUAGAUAUAUGGAAGAACACCAGUGGCGAAAGCGGCUCUCUGGUCUGUAACUGACGCUGAGGUUCGAAAGCGUGGGUAGCAAACAGGAUUAGAUACCCUGGUAGUCCACGCUGUAAACGAUGAAUGCUAAGUGUUGGAGGGUUUCCGCCCUUCAGUGCUGCAGCUAACGCAUUAAGCAUUCCGCCUGGGGAGUACGACCGCAAGGUUG
This 530-nucleotide ribosomal RNA is filed under the name uncultured bacterium. RNAcentral's name for it is "bacterial SSU rRNA". It matches the Rfam family "Bacterial small subunit ribosomal RNA", at positions 355 to 896 of the family's 1533-position model. The record is from RNAcentral.